CAAAGGGUGUUGGUCGAUUAAG
This 22-nucleotide non-coding RNA is filed under the name Arabidopsis thaliana (thale cress). Lineage: Eukaryota; Viridiplantae; Streptophyta; Magnoliopsida; Brassicales; Brassicaceae. The record is from RNAcentral.